GACGAACGCUGGCGGCGUGCUUAACACAUGCAAGUCGAACGGAAAGGCCCUGCUUUUGUGGGGUGCUCGAGUGGCGAACGGGUGAGUAACACGUGAGUAACCUGCCCUUGACUUUGGGAUAACUUCAGGAAACUGAGGCUAAUACCGGAUAGGAGCUCCUGCUGCAUGGUGGGGGUUGGAAAGUUUCGGCGGUUGGGGAUGGACUCGCGGCUUAUCAGCUUGUUGGUGGGGUAAUGGCUUACCAAGGCUUUGACGGGUAGCCGGCCUGAGAGGGUGACCGGCCACAUUGGGACUGAGAUACGGCCCAGACUCCUACGGGAGGCAGCAGUGGGGAAUAUUGCACAAUGGGCGGAAGCCUGAUGCAGCAACGCCGCGUGCGGGAUGACGGCCUUCGGGUUGUAAACCGCUUUCGCCUGUGACGAAGCGUGAGUGACGGUAAUGGGUAAAGAAGCACCGGCUAACUACGUG
RNAcentral lists this ribosomal RNA (468 nucleotides) under uncultured bacterium. Its description in RNAcentral is "partial 16S ribosomal RNA". It matches the Rfam family "Bacterial small subunit ribosomal RNA", at positions 28 to 507 of the family's 1533-position model. The record is from RNAcentral.